GACGUAGGGGGCAAGCGUUGUUCGGAAUUAUUGGGCGUAAAGCGCUCGUAGGCGGGACAGGAAGUUCGUGUUGAAAGACCUCGGCUCAACUGAGGGACCGGCUCGAAUACUCUUGUUCUUGAGGCAAUCAGAGGGUGAUGGAAUUCCCGGUGUAGCGGUGAAAUGCGUAGAUAUCGGGAAGAACACCCGUGGCGAAGGCGGCACUCUGGGACGGUACUGACGCUGAGACGCGAAAGCGUGGGGAGCGAACAGG
This 253-nucleotide ribosomal RNA is filed under the name uncultured bacterium. RNAcentral's name for it is "partial 16S ribosomal RNA". It matches the Rfam family "Bacterial small subunit ribosomal RNA", at positions 524 to 776 of the family's 1533-position model. The record is from RNAcentral.